AUGGCUGAUACUACAUCUAAUAGUUUUAGGUGUCAACCUGACUACAUUAAGGGAUGCGUAGAAAGCUGGUAACUAUUGAGUCUGGAUGUGUCUGUGAGGGUGUUUCCAGAGAAGACCGGCAUGCAGGUCUGUAGACACAUCUGCCUUCAGUGUGGGAAGAAACCGUCUGAUUUACUGGAGGCCUGACUCUGUUAUUACCACUGGAUGCCACAAUCCUCUUGGAGAGAUAAGGAAAAUUCUGUUUUUUUUCAUAUAACUUCAUUGGAGCUUUUGCUGCUGAAAAAUUUAUGGACAGCAUCUGAAAGGGGACAAAAUAAGUGAGCACUAAAUAUUCUCGGAGAGUUAACACGAAAAUGAGAAAAAGGAAUAAAGACAAGAGCUUGCUAGAAAACUCUGCACCUUUGUAUAAGCUAGAAAACACUGACACCAUUGCAAGGAGAUUGCAACAUAACCACCGCCUCCUCCAGAUCAUUUAUGCACAUGGCCCCAGGGAAGGAUACAGAGUUAACUAAGACCUGGCCUCUGUCCACAAGAAGUUACUGGACUAGCAACAUUUUCAGUCUAUUCACAACCGUGUUCAUUGAUGCUGCCGUGUAUGGGGAAACAGAUGUCAAGUUAUAGAGCAAACAAUUUUCUAAGCUAAAAUAUUUUAUAUUGUUUAAAAACCCCGUCAAAUUGGGUAAUUUGGAUUUUUAUGUGUAAAAGAGAUUACUUUUUAAGAAACUAAAUUGCAUAGUACUUAUUCUUUCAUCAGAUAAAAUACAUUAGAGUUGAAUACUAUAGUUAUUUUAAAGAUGGACAAGAAAGUAGUAUUAUAAAUUGAUAACCAUGAGAGUUUAAUACCUCUUUAGAGAGGUACACAAGAUCUUAUUUUUUGUAUAAUGUCACAGUAAUGAAAACAAGGCAUGUGUCCUACUGCCUCCAACUCUCCCCUGACGCCCUCUUCCCUAAAGCCAAGUGGGGACUAGUCUAAACAGUUCCUAGUACAGUUACUAACAAUUAAUUACAAUGGAUAUUGUCCUCUGUUUGUUCUCCAAGUCGAGCCCAAUCACCUCACUUUAUAAAGAAAGUAUUAAGCUGAGGUUUAGAAAAAUGAAAUCCUUGUCUAGAAAAAGAACAUACGACUGGUUAUAAUAUCCUGAUCUUCCCAUCUAGUUCCCUUCUCAUAAUACUCUUCGGGAAAAUUUUGUGCUGCUAUGCCAAUAACCCACUGCAUUUACUAAUUUUUUUAAUGAAAAUGAGAAGUAGGUUACAGACCAGUUUUUAUUGUAUUAUGUCUGUAGAUCCUGACUGAUUGAAAAGAUUGGGUGCAGAAUGACUGUAUUCUAUGGUGUGCAUUGAAUACCUAUGAAUAAACACAAACACAAAUGCAUA
Long non-coding RNA from Chinchilla lanigera (long-tailed chinchilla), 1374 nucleotides. RefSeq lists it as uncharacterized. The record is from RefSeq and is a predicted model, not a curated record. The transcript is spliced from 4 exons. NCBI's taxonomy places the organism in Eukaryota, Metazoa, Chordata, Mammalia, Rodentia, Chinchillidae.